Molecule: ribosomal RNA, 253 nt
Filed under: uncultured bacterium
Lineage: Bacteria
Description: partial 16S ribosomal RNA
Rfam family: Bacterial small subunit ribosomal RNA
Source: RNAcentral
UACGGGGGGGGCAAGCGUUGUCCGGAAUCAUUGGGCGUAAAGCGCGUGUAGGCGGCUCGGUAAGUCUGCUGUGAAAGUCCAGGGCUCAACCCUGGGAUGCCGGUGGAUACUGUCGAGCUCGAGUCCGGAAGAGGCGAGUGGAAUUCCUGGUGUAGCGGUGAAAUGCGCAGAUAUCAGGAGGAACACCAAUGGCGAAGGCAGCUCGCUGGGACGUGACUGACGCUGAGACGCGAAAGCGUGGGGAGCAAACAGG